GAUGAACGCUGGCGGCGUGCCUAAUACAUGCAAGUCGAGCGAACAGACGAGGAGCUUGCUCCUUCGACGUUAGCGGCGGACGGGUGAGUAACACGUAGGUAACCUACCUAUAAGACUGGGAUAACUUCGGGAAACCGGAGCUAAUACCGGAUAAUAUUUCGAACCGCAUGGUUCGAUAGUGAAAGAUGGCUUUGCUAUCACUUAUAGAUGGACCUGCGCCGUAUUAGCUAGUUGGUAAGGUAACGGCUUACCAAGGCAACGAUACGUAGCCGACCUGAGAGGGUGAUCGGCCACACUGGAACUGAGACACGGUCCAGACUCCUACGGGAGGCAGCAGUAGGGAAUCUUCCGCACUGGGCGAAAGCCUGACGGAGCAACGCCGCGUGAGUGAUGAAGGUCUUCGGAUCGUAAAACUCUGUUAUUAGGGAAGAACAAACGUGUAAGUAACUGUGCACGUCUUGACGGUACCUAAUCAGAAAGCCACGGCUAACUACGUG
RNAcentral lists this ribosomal RNA (497 nucleotides) under uncultured bacterium. Its description in RNAcentral is "partial 16S ribosomal RNA". It matches the Rfam family "Bacterial small subunit ribosomal RNA", at positions 28 to 507 of the family's 1533-position model. The record is from RNAcentral.